GACGAACGCUGGCGGCGUGCUUAACACAUGCGAGUCGAACGGAAAGGCCCUGCUUUUGUGGGGUGCUCGAGUGGCGAACGGGUGAGUAACACGUGAGUAACCUGCCCUUGACUUUGGGAUAACUUCAGGAAACUGGGGCUAAUACCGGAUAGGAGCUCCUGCUGCAUGGUGGGGGUUGGAAAGUUUCGGCGGUUGGGGAUGGACUCGCGGCUUAUCAGCUUGUUGGUGGGGUAGUGGCUUACCAAGGCUUUGACGGGUAGCCGGCCUGAGAGGGUGACCGGCCACAUUGGGACUGAGAUACGGCCCAGACUCCUACGGGAGGCGGCAGUGGGGAAUAUUGCACAAUGGGCGGAAGCCUGAUGCAGCAACGCCGCGUGCGGGAUGACGGCCUUCGGGUUGUAAACCGCUUUCGCCUGUGACGAAGCGUGAGUGACGGUAAUGGGUAAAGAAGCACCGGCUAACUACGUG
Molecule: ribosomal RNA, 468 nt
Filed under: uncultured bacterium
Lineage: Bacteria
Description: partial 16S ribosomal RNA
Rfam family: Bacterial small subunit ribosomal RNA
Source: RNAcentral